GAUAUGGCUCAGGAUGAACGCUAGCUACAGGCUUAACACAUGCAAGUCGAGGGGAAACGACAUCGAAAGCUUGCUUUUGAUGGGCGUCGACCGGCGCACGGGUGAGUAACGCGUAUCCAACCUGCCCACCACUUGGGGAUAACCUUGCGAAAGUAAGACUAAUACCCAAUGACAUCCCACGAAGACAUCUGAAUGGGAUUAAAGAUUUAUCGGUGAUGGAUGGGGAUGCGUCUGAUUAG
Molecule: ribosomal RNA, 239 nt
Filed under: uncultured bacterium
Lineage: Bacteria
Description: partial 16S ribosomal RNA
Rfam family: Bacterial small subunit ribosomal RNA
Source: RNAcentral